RNAcentral lists this ribosomal RNA (207 nucleotides) under uncultured bacterium. RNAcentral describes it as "partial 16S ribosomal RNA". It matches the Rfam family "Bacterial small subunit ribosomal RNA", at positions 568 to 774 of the family's 1533-position model. The record is from RNAcentral.
CGCGUAGGCGGCUUGGUAAGUCGGAUGUGAAAUCCCGGGGCUCAACCCCGUGACUGCACCCGAAACUGCCCGGCUAGAGGUAGGUAGGGGAGAUCGGAAUUCCUGGUGUAGCGGUGAAAUGCGCAGAUAUCAGGAGGAACACCGGUGGCGAAGGCGGAUCUCUGGGCCUUACCUGACGCUCAGGCGCGAAAGCUAGGGGAGCAAACA